RNAcentral lists this ribosomal RNA (253 nucleotides) under uncultured bacterium. RNAcentral's name for it is "partial 16S ribosomal RNA". It matches the Rfam family "Bacterial small subunit ribosomal RNA", at positions 524 to 776 of the family's 1533-position model. The record is from RNAcentral.
UACGGGGGGGGUAAGCGUUGUUCGGAAUUACUGGGCGUAAAGGGCUCGUAGGCGGCCUACUAAGUCAUACGUGAAAUCCCUCAGCUUAACUGGGGAACUGCGUGUGAUACUGGAUGGCUUGGAUUUGGGAGAGGGAUGCGGAAUUCCAGGUGUAGCGGUGAAAUGCGUAGAUAUCUGGAGGAACACCGGUGGCGAAGGCGGCAUCCUGGACCAAUAUUGACGCUGAGGAGCGAAAGCCAGGGGAGCAAACGGG